This 267-nucleotide unclassified non-coding RNA is filed under the name plant metagenome. RNAcentral describes it as "partial contains small subunit ribosomal RNA, internal transcribed spacer 1, and 5.8S ribosomal RNA". The record is from RNAcentral.
GCUCCGUAGGUGAACCUGCGGAAGGAUCAUUAUCGUACAAAAUGUGAGGGGGAUGCGAGGGCUGUCGCUGACCCAAAAGUCGUGCACGCCCGAGUGUGUCCUCUUGCAUAAUAAUCCAUCUCACCCUUUGUGCAUCACCGCGUGGGCACCCUUCGGGAUCAUCUCGGAGGGGGGCUCGCGUUUUCUCACAAACCCCCCUUUUAAAAGUGUAGAAUGACCACAUUUAUGCAAUCAAUACAACUUUCAACAACGGAUCUCUUGGCUCUC